This 67-nucleotide transfer RNA is filed under the name Phyllidia elegans. RNAcentral's name for it is "tRNA-Asn". Lineage: Eukaryota; Metazoa; Mollusca; Gastropoda; Nudibranchia; Phyllidiidae. The record is from RNAcentral.
AAGGAUGAAGCUAAAAAGCAUUUAACUGUUAAUUAAAAAUAGUAUACUUUACAAUAUACCUUCCUUG